AAUCAACGCUGGCGGCGUGCCUCAGACAUGCAAGUCGAACGCGAAAGGCUCCUUCGGGGGCCGAGUAGAGUGGCGUCCGGGUGAGUAACACGUGGGUAAUCUACCUUCGGGUGGGGAAUAACGACCGGAAACGGUCGCUAAUACCGCAUAAUGCAGCGGCACCUAAUGGUGACAGUUGUUAAAGCGGGGGAUCGCAAGACCUCGCGCCUGAAGAGGAGCCCGCGGCGGAUUAGCUAGUUGGCAGGGUAACGGCCUACCAAGGCGACGAUCCGUAGCC
RNAcentral lists this ribosomal RNA (277 nucleotides) under uncultured bacterium. RNAcentral describes it as "partial 16S ribosomal RNA". It matches the Rfam family "Bacterial small subunit ribosomal RNA", at positions 32 to 288 of the family's 1533-position model. The record is from RNAcentral.